GGGCCCUUAGCUCAGUUGGUCAGAGCUGCGGACUCAUAAUCCGUAGGUCGCUGGUUCAAGUCCAGCAGGGCCCA
Molecule: transfer RNA, 74 nt
Filed under: Treponema sp.
Lineage: Bacteria; Pseudomonadati; Spirochaetota; Spirochaetia; Treponematales; Treponemataceae
Also listed under: 9 other names
Description: tRNA-Ile
Rfam family: tRNA
About the family: Transfer RNA (tRNA) molecules are approximately 80 nucleotides in length. Their secondary structure includes four short double-helical elements and three loops (D, anti-codon, and T loops). Further hydrogen bonds mediate the characteristic L-shaped molecular structure. tRNAs have two regions of fundamental functional importance: the anti-codon, which is responsible for specific mRNA codon recognition, and the 3' end, to which the tRNAs corresponding amino acid is attached (by aminoacyl-tRNA synthetases). tRNAs cope with the degeneracy of the genetic code in two manners: having more than one tRNA (with a specific anti-codon) for a particular amino acid; and 'wobble' base-pairing, i.e. permitting non-standard base-pairing at the 3rd anti-codon position.
Source: RNAcentral